RNAcentral lists this ribosomal RNA (253 nucleotides) under uncultured bacterium. Its description in RNAcentral is "partial 16S ribosomal RNA". It matches the Rfam family "Bacterial small subunit ribosomal RNA", at positions 524 to 776 of the family's 1533-position model. The record is from RNAcentral.
UACGGAGGGUGCAAGCGUUAAUCGGAAUCACUGGGCGUAAAGCGCGCGUAGGUGGCUAUUUAAGUCAGAUGUGAAAGCCCUGGGCUCAACCUGGGAAUGGCAUUUGAUACUGGAUAGCUAGAGUAUGGUAGAGGUGAGUGGAAUUUCAGGUGUAGCGGUGAAAUGCGUAGAGAUCUGAAGGAACAUCAGUGGCGAAGGCAACCUCCUGGGCCUGAAUUGACACUGAAGCACGAAAGCGUGGGGAGCAAACAGG